AAAUACAAAGCUAAAUGGACAGUGAAGAUAGUGAGAAAUUAGUUAA
RNAcentral lists this non-coding RNA (46 nucleotides) under Trypanosoma brucei brucei. The record is from RNAcentral. Lineage: Eukaryota; Euglenozoa; Kinetoplastea; Trypanosomatida; Trypanosomatidae.